This 1508-nucleotide ribosomal RNA is filed under the name Triticum aestivum (bread wheat). RNAcentral describes it as "partial small subunit ribosomal RNA". Lineage: Eukaryota; Viridiplantae; Streptophyta; Magnoliopsida; Poales; Poaceae. The record is from RNAcentral.
GGGCGGGCUCCACUCGUGAACAUGUAGGGCUAACCUCAAGGCUAACCAACCAUCCGCGACCAAGCAUCCAGAGCCUAGGUCGCACCAGAGGGAGGCCUCAACGAGCAAGGCUAACACCAACCAUCCGCGCCGCGCCGCGCCCAAGUAUCCAGAGCCUAGGUCGCGGCAGAACAUAGGAUAAGAUAAGCAUACUCCUUGGAGCUGAUCCUAUCCUAAAUUAAUCCCAAACAAACAAACCAUUGUGGUGGAUCCGUCCCAAACUAAUAGGCAUUAUUCCUUAGUUAGACUGCAAAAUCAAUCCCAAACGAACCAAAGAGUUUACCACAUACUUACUUAAGAAGUUGACACGGACAGCGCUAAAACCCGCCCCGUUUUAACCUCCGUAAAACACCUACUUUCUAACCCCCUUUACGAUCUAGGUGAGCUUUGGCUCGUUUAGGUACCUAGUUUUAGUUGUUUUGAAGUAGUAUGGUUGUUUAGUGUUUUUUUUAACCAACCACCCCUUUAAAGCUUAAUCCUGCUUUUUGUUGUUUUAGUUCGAUCUUUUGCUUAUAAUUAAACCUACCUUAAGUACGAUACAACAAGCUAAAGUCACAUAAUUAAAAAAAUAGUUGAUAAACCUUAAGUACAAGAUCGAGACAAACCUAUUCAUUGUUAUAAAAAACCCUAGGAUUUUAUAAAUACGUGUCGUGAAUUGGACGUCGACGACUAAUUACAACAUCAGUAUACACGACGAAAGGUCGACCAUCGUCGUUGACAAGACGACGUCAGGCGGUUUUCCUUUUCUACCAGAUGUUUUAGGUGAGGGUACGGGUUUAGGUUCGGGACGUCCGGGCGAGGCUACUCGACCCGGUGAGGUUACUCGUGUACGAACACUUCGAACAGAGAGACCUCAGCCACGCGUAUCGCACGCUCAGCAUACUUGAGGAGACGGGCGACUACUACCUCAGCAGGACCUUUACGGGCCUCGACCUUUAGGAGAGCCAGCACCGUCCGAACAGCGACCUUUAGGUUUUCGAGCUCGUAGUAGACAAUGGGGUCGAGUACCAAGUCCUCCGGUUCGACCUUGCCCCGCGGGACCUUCGGUAGGAUGAGCACUUCUUGAGUCGUUAAUUCGAGAAUGUAGACUUAUUCACGAAAUUCCUUCGGAACCCGUAUAGAGCAAAGCUCCUCCUAGGCCAGUGUUUAGUACAGCUAGACGACUCGUAUAACGAUUUCCUAUACCGACAAGGACAUGAACUUUUAUUAACGCCGCCACUGACCGAUUUCGGCGCACAGGGCUACGACCAGGUCGUCCAGUGGGUACACAACCUCUAGGGCCAAGCAAAGACAAUAAGACUACUCAUCUGAAUAGUCGGUCGAGCUCCGACAACACUACUCAUAAAGAAUCCCCGCACCGUUUGUCAAAUCUUGGUUGGGAAAUACAAACAUACAUUUCCUAAAAUUUACUAUACAUAGAACCCAUCACAAAAGAGUAAGACACGAUCCCAUGUUGAACGUUAAUGAAA